Non-coding RNA from Pelobates cultripes (western spadefoot toad), 446 nucleotides. The record is from the annotation of a GenBank genome assembly. NCBI's taxonomy places the organism in Eukaryota, Metazoa, Chordata, Amphibia, Anura, Pelobatidae.
GUCCGGUCUUUAGUCAAGGUAAAAGUUCAGUUUGCCUGGACAGUCCGUCUGCAUUCCUAUUGAACCGGCCAGGGCGAUACUGGAUGGAGAAGUUGUACGGUUGUAGUGCCAGGCUCCAUCUUAGUAAUCGUCCAUUGUCCCCAGCCACUCGGUUAAGCCAUACUAGGGGGUUAUGGUCUGUGAUCAACGUGAAUUCCUGACCGUAGAGGUAUGGGGUGAGCUUCUAGCCCAGACCAGGGCUAGACACUCCUUUUCCACUGCCGCGUAACUCACUUCCCUGGGUAAUAGUUUCCUACUCAGGUACGCGACAGGGUGUUCCCCUCCAUCUUCCCCGACCUGGCUCAGAACUGCCCCCAGUCCGUACAUGGACGCAUCUGUAUGGACAACAAAUCUUUUGUUAGGGACGGGGGCAGACAAAACCGGUGCGUUGAUCAGGGCUUGUUUCA